UUGUUAGAGGGUGCUUUUAUGUACCAAGUUAAAUAAUGCCAUGUGGCUUUUAAUAUUUAGUAAACAUUUUAAUGUUAACAAGAAGUAAUGUUUUUUGGAUAUUUUGAUUUUGAAUGUUACAAUACUGCUUCAUUUAGGCGCCUGUAUACGUCAGAUUAAGUUAAAGGAAAAGACACACUCUGGCAUAAAAAGGACGUUCGCAGCUGCUGGGACCAAAACACUCUGGCAAAAACAGACAGAUCCCUGGCACACGAGUGUGCGGGAAAACCGUCAGCAGCGGCGUUCUGGAGUCAGUCUCCGCCGAGUGGGCUGACACCGCCUCCUCUCAGGACGAGCGGCGACAGCCCUUUCUUUGGUUCGCCGCCGCCGCCUCUCCAGGACGCCCGAGCCCUUCCCCACAGGACUCCUGACCCUCCUCGCACCCGGCACCAAAAUAUGUGUCUGGGGUUCCUUCUGUGAGAAAUGCGCUCACUGGUCGGAACUUGGUUGCUUCCAUGUCUUGGCUAGUGUGAGUGAUGCUGCAGUGAACUUGGAAAUGCAGAUAUCUCUUUGAGAUCCUGAUUUCAAUUCCUUUGGACAUAUGCCCAGACAUGAGAUUGCUGGAUCAUAUGGAGUUGCUACAGCUGAGAAUGGGAUGCCAAGGGCCAAAUCAAAACUAGCAUGAUUUAGGUCAUGGAAGAUACCUAAGAUCUUAUUGUGGAAUUAGAGAUUUCACCUGUUCUAAUGGAUUUCUCAAGAGGCAUCCACAGACCACCUUCAUCAAAAUCAUUGUUAAAAACGAAGAAUCAUGAGGCCUAUUUCAGGCUUACAGAAUUAGAAACUCUGGAAGCAGCCCUAGAAAUCAGCAAAUUUUACAUAUUCCUAGAUAAACUUUAAGCCUGCUAAAGUUUGAGAACACUAGGAAGGUAGCAACUUCAGUGGAGUCAGGUUUUUAGAAUGAACUUGCUGUGUGAUUUCAGACGAACUUCUGAUCUGCUUUAUCUGUAAUUGCUC
This is a long non-coding RNA of Manis pentadactyla (Chinese pangolin), 993 nucleotides long. RefSeq lists it as uncharacterized. Lineage: Eukaryota; Metazoa; Chordata; Mammalia; Pholidota; Manidae. The record is from RefSeq and is a predicted model, not a curated record. The transcript has 5 exons.